RNAcentral lists this long non-coding RNA (515 nucleotides) under Rattus norvegicus (Norway rat). RNAcentral's name for it is "long non-coding RNA NONRATT015919". Lineage: Eukaryota; Metazoa; Chordata; Mammalia; Rodentia; Muridae. The record is from RNAcentral.
UCAGGAUUCAGGCCCACAGGAACAGCUGAAGACCAGUAGACAGGAAAGACUACACACCCGAAAGCAGAACACUCUGUUCCCAUAACUGGCUGAAAGAAAACAGGAAAACAGGUCUACAGCACUCCUGACACGCAGGCCUAUAGGACAGUCUAGCUACUGUUUGAACUAGCAGAAUGAGGUAACACCAGAGACAACCUGAUGGCAAGAGGCAAGCACAGGAACCCAAGCAACAGAAACCAAGACUACGUGGCAUCAUCGGAGCCCAAUUCUCCCACCAAAGCAAACAGUGAAUAUCCAAACACACCAGAAAAGCAAGAUCUAGAUUUAAAAUCAGAUUUGAUCAUGAUGAUGGAAGACUUCAAGAAGGACAUGAAAAACUCCCUUAGAGAAACAGAGGAAAACAUAAAUAAACAAGUAGAAGCCUAUAGAGAGGAAUCACAAAAAUCCCUGAAAGAAUUCCAGGGAAACACAAACAGUUGAAGGAAAUAAAAAUGGAAAUAGAAGCAAUAAAGAAA